Molecule: ribosomal RNA, 300 nt
Filed under: Triticum aestivum (bread wheat)
Lineage: Eukaryota; Viridiplantae; Streptophyta; Magnoliopsida; Poales; Poaceae
Description: partial small subunit ribosomal RNA
Source: RNAcentral
GAUAAAGUUGAAGUCGUGUUGUAUUCGAUGAACUUGAGAAACAAAGACAAACUUGUGGCCAAAGGAACUUUAGAGAGUAAAGAGAAAACAUAUGUGGUUGGAGGAAACAUGCUUGGAGUGCAAUAUGUUGCAGUUCGUGUUCGCGGCUGUACAUAUCUAGGAGAUGAGAAACUAGUUAGACCAUAUGAAAAAAUCCAAACAGUAAGGGAUGCUAUGGGUUCUGUUAUUGCUUGGCCUCGCUCACAUGUAAAAAUAGUUAAGCCAACCCCUCCAGCACAACCACAGAGCAUUGGGCGGUGA